UACGUAGGUGGCAAGCGUUGUCCGGAUUUAUUGGGCGUAAAGCGCGCGCAGGCGGUUCGUUAAGUCCGAGGUGAAAUCUCCUGGCUCAACUGGGAGGGGUCUUCGGAUACUGGCGGACUUGAGGAGAGCAGAGGUGAGUGGAAUUCUCGGUGUAGUGGUGAAAUGCGUAGAUAUCGAGAGGAACACCAGCGGCGAAGGCGGCUCACUGGGCUCCACCUGACGCUGAGGCGCGAAAGCAUGGGGAGCAAACAGG
RNAcentral lists this ribosomal RNA (253 nucleotides) under uncultured bacterium. Its description in RNAcentral is "partial 16S ribosomal RNA". It matches the Rfam family "Bacterial small subunit ribosomal RNA", at positions 524 to 776 of the family's 1533-position model. The record is from RNAcentral.